RNAcentral lists this ribosomal RNA (497 nucleotides) under uncultured bacterium. RNAcentral's name for it is "partial 16S ribosomal RNA". It matches the Rfam family "Bacterial small subunit ribosomal RNA", at positions 28 to 507 of the family's 1533-position model. The record is from RNAcentral.
GAUGAACGCUGGCGGCGUGCCUAAUACAUGCAAGUCGAGCGAACAGACGAGGAGCUUGCUCCUCUGACGUGAGCGGCGGAGGGGUGAGUAACACGUGUAUAACCUACCUAUAAGACUGGUAUAAUUUCGGGAAACCGGAGCUUAUACCGGAUAAUAUAUUGCAGCGCAUGGGUCAAUAGUGAAAUACGGUUUUGGUGGCACGUAUAGCUGGAUCCGCGCUGCAUUAGCUAGUUGGUAAGGUAACGGCUUACCAAGGCAACGAGGCGUAGCCGAAGUGAGGGGGUGGUCGGCCACACGGGAACUGGGACACGGUCCAUGCUCCUACGGGAGGCAGCAGUAGGGAAUCUGCGGCAAUGGGCGAAAGCUUGACGGAGCAACGCCGAGUGAGUGACAAAGGCCUUCGGAUCGUAAAACUCUGUUAUUAGGGAAGAACAAAUGUGUAAGUAACUAUGCCCGUCUUGACGGUACCUAAUCAGAAAGCCACGGCUAACUACGUG